CCUACGGGAGGCUGCAGUGGGGAAUAUUGGGCAAUGGGCGCAAGCCUGACCCAGCAACGCCGCGUGAAGGAAGAAGGCUUUCGGGUUGUAAACUUCUUUUCUCAGGGACGAAGAAAGUGACGGUACCUGAGGAAUAAGCCACGGCUAACUACGUGCCAGCAGCCGCGGUAAUACGUAGGUGGCAAGCGUUAUCCGGAUUUACUGGGUGUAAAGGGCGUGUAGGCGGGACUGCAAGUCAGAUGUGAAAACCACGGGCUCAACCUGUGGCCUGCAUUUGAAACUGUAGUUCUUGAGUACUGGAGAGGCAGACGGAAGUCCUAGUGUAGCGGUGAAAUGCGUAGAUAUUAGGAGGAACACCAGUGGCGAAGGCGGCUUACUGGACUGUAACUGACGUUGAGGCUCGAAAGCGUGGGGAGCAAACAGGAUUAGAUACCCGUGUAGUC
RNAcentral lists this ribosomal RNA (443 nucleotides) under uncultured bacterium. Its description in RNAcentral is "partial 16S ribosomal RNA". It matches the Rfam family "Bacterial small subunit ribosomal RNA", at positions 338 to 795 of the family's 1533-position model. The record is from RNAcentral.